AGAUUGAACGCUGGCGGCAUGCCUAACACAUGCAAGUCGAGCGGCAGCGCGGGGGCAACCCUGGCGGCGAGCGGCGGACGGGUGAGUAACACGUGAGCAACCUGCCCUUUGGACCGGGAUAACACCUCGAAAGGGGUGCUAAUACCGGGUGAGGUCUCCGGCCCGCACGGGUUGGGGAGGAAAGGGGAAACCCGCCGAAGGAGGGGCUCGCGGCCCAUUAAUGGCGCACCAAGGCGACGAUGGGUAGCCGGCCUGAGAGGGUGAACGGCCACACUGGGACUGAGACACGGCCCAGACUCCUACGGGAGGCAGC
Molecule: ribosomal RNA, 313 nt
Filed under: uncultured prokaryote
Description: bacterial SSU rRNA
Rfam family: Bacterial small subunit ribosomal RNA
Source: RNAcentral